RNAcentral lists this ribosomal RNA (494 nucleotides) under uncultured bacterium. RNAcentral describes it as "partial 16S ribosomal RNA". It matches the Rfam family "Bacterial small subunit ribosomal RNA", at positions 28 to 507 of the family's 1533-position model. The record is from RNAcentral.
GACGAACGCUGGCGGCGCGCUUAACACAUGCAAGUCGAACGGAAAGGCCUGCUUUCCCUUGUGGAUUGCGGGUACUCGAGUGGCGAACGGGUGAGUAACACGUGAGUGAUCUGCCCCCAACUUGGGUAUAAGCCUGGGAAACUGGGUCUAAUUCCCGAUAGGACUGCAGGGUGGUGCCUGUGGUGGCAAACGAUUUUCUAGUGGUUGGGGAUGAGCUCGCGGCCUAUCAGCUUGUUGGUGGGGUAAUGGCCUACCAAGGCGGCGACGGGUAGCCGGCCUGAGAGGGGGGACGGCCACAUUGGGACUGAGAUACGGCCCAGACUCCUACGGGAGGCAGCAGUGGGGAAUAUUGCACAAUGGGCGGAAGCCUGAUGCAGCGACGCCGCGUGGGGGAUGACGGCCUUCGGGUUGUAAACUCCUUUCGACCGCGAGGAAGCCACCUGGUUGGAAGGGUGGUGACGGUAGUGGUAGAAGAAGCACCGGCUAACUACGUG